This 429-nucleotide ribosomal RNA is filed under the name bacterium. Its description in RNAcentral is "partial 16S ribosomal RNA". It matches the Rfam family "Bacterial small subunit ribosomal RNA", at positions 355 to 776 of the family's 1533-position model. The record is from RNAcentral.
UGGGGAAUCUUCCGCAAUGGACGAAAGUCUGACGGAGCAACGCCGCGUGAGUGAUGACGGCCUUCGGGUUGUAAAGCUCUGUUAAUCGGGACGAAUGGUUCUUGUGCGAAUAGUGCAAGGAUUUGACGGUACCGGAAUAGAAAGCCACGGCUAACUACGUGCCAGCAGCCGCGGUAAUACGUAGGUGGCAAGCGUUGUCCGGAAUUAUUGGGCGUAAAGCGCGCGCAGGCGGAUUGGUCAGUCUGUCUUAAAAGUUCGGGGCUUAACCCCGUGAUGGGAUGGAAACUGCCAAUCUAGAGUAUCGGAAAGGAAAGUGGAAUUCCUAGUGUAGCGGUGAAAUGCGUAGAUAUUAGGAAGAACACCAGUGGCGAAGGCGACUUUCUGGACGAAAACUGACGCUGAGGCGCGAAAGCCAGGGGAGCGAACGGG